This 252-nucleotide ribosomal RNA is filed under the name uncultured bacterium. RNAcentral's name for it is "partial 16S ribosomal RNA". It matches the Rfam family "Bacterial small subunit ribosomal RNA", at positions 524 to 776 of the family's 1533-position model. The record is from RNAcentral.
UACGUAGGGGGCAAGCGUUGUCCGGAUUUAUUGGGCGUAAAGAGCGUGUAGGGGCCGUACAGGUCAGCUGUGAAAACUCGAGGCUCAACCUCGAGACGUCGGUUGAAACCGUACGGCUAGAGUCCGGAAGAGGAGAGUGGAAUUCCCGGUGUAGCGGUGAAAUGCGCAGAUAUCGGGAAGAACACCCGUGGCGAAGGCGGCUCUCUGGGACGGUACUGACGCUGAGACGCGAAAGCGUGGGGAGCGAACAGG